GAUGAACGCUGGCGGCGUGCCUAAUACAUGCAAGUCGAGCGAACAGACGAGGAGCUUGCUCCUCUGACGUUAGCGGCGGACGGGUGAGUAACACGUGGAUAACCUACCUAUAAGACUGGGAUAACUUCGGGAAACCGGAGCUAAUACCGGAUAAUAUAUUGAACCGCAUGGUUCAAUAGUGAAAGACGGUUUUGCUGUCACUUAUAUAUGGAUCCGCGCCGCAUUAGCUAGUUGGUAAGGUAACGGCUUACCAAGGCAACGAUGCGUAGCCGACCUGAGAGGGUGAUCGGCCACACUGGAACUGAGACACGGUCCAGACUCCUACGGGAGGCAGCAGUAGGGAAUCUUCUGCAAUGGGCGAAAGCCUGACGGAGCAACGCCGCGUGAGUGAUGAAGGUCUUCGGAUCGUAAAACUCUGUUAUUAGGGAAGAACAAAUGUGUAAGUAACUAUGCACGUCUUGACGGUACCUAAUCAGAAAGCCACGGCUAACUACGUG
RNAcentral lists this ribosomal RNA (497 nucleotides) under uncultured bacterium. RNAcentral describes it as "partial 16S ribosomal RNA". It matches the Rfam family "Bacterial small subunit ribosomal RNA", at positions 28 to 507 of the family's 1533-position model. The record is from RNAcentral.